This 178-nucleotide non-coding RNA is filed under the name uncultured Fusobacterium sp. RNAcentral's name for it is "Lysine riboswitch". It matches the Rfam family "Lysine riboswitch aptamer", at positions 11 to 172 of the family's 182-position model. Rfam says of the family: Riboswitches are metabolite binding domains within certain messenger RNAs that serve as precision sensors for their corresponding targets. Allosteric rearrangement of mRNA structure is mediated by ligand binding, and this results in modulation of gene expression. This family includes riboswitches that sense lysine in a number of genes involved in lysine metabolism, including lysC. The record is from RNAcentral. Lineage: Bacteria; Fusobacteriati; Fusobacteriota; Fusobacteriia; Fusobacteriales; Fusobacteriaceae.
CAGAUUGAGGUGCAGUUGCGAAGAGUAAUUAUAUGGAGUUUCCCAACUUUGAGAUGUAAUGAAAGGCAAAACUGCCGAAGCGGAAAAUUUUGUGGGGAUAGAAUUUUUCAGCUGGGUAUGCAGAAAAUAUCUGUAUGACUGUCAUUGAGAUUUGCAGGGUCUCAAUGUUGUGCUUUCU